GGAUGUGAGGGCAAUCUGGCUACUACAUCUAUUACCCCAUUGAUUUCCAGAGUUGAUUAGGCUGAUCUGGCUGGUGAGGCAGGCAUUCGCUUCCUUCAUCACUGUUCCCUGUGCAUUCUUUCAGAAGCUGGACACUUAGUAAAGAGGAUAACCUUCCCCUAAGAGGAAGCCCAUUCUUCAUCAAGGGCGUAUGAGUAGCUGUGCUCCCCUUAGAAUUUUUAACAUAGAAUUAUAGAUUUUUAACAUAGAAUCCUAGCCUCACUGCAAAACUUGACCAGUGUUGAGAUUAGGGGUUGUCUCU
This 301-nucleotide small nuclear RNA is filed under the name Marmota monax (woodchuck). Its description in RNAcentral is "7SK RNA". It matches the Rfam family "7SK RNA". Rfam says of the family: 7SK was discovered as an abundant small nuclear RNA in the mid-70s but a possible function has only recently been suggested. Two independent studies have found that 7SK RNA binds the CDK9/cyclin T complex (known as elongation factor P-TEFb). The record is from Rfam by way of RNAcentral. Lineage: Eukaryota; Metazoa; Chordata; Mammalia; Rodentia; Sciuridae.